UACGAAGGGGGCUAGCGUUGCUCGGAUUGACUGGGCGUAAAGGGCGCGUAGGCGGUUCGUACAGUCAGACGUGAAAUUCCUGGGCUCAACCUGGGGGCUGCGUUUGAUACGUGCGGACUUGAGUGCGGAAGAGGGUCGUGGAAUUCCCAGUGUAGAGGUGAAAUUCGUAGAUAUCAGGAAGAACACCCGUGGCGAAGGCGGCUCUCUGGGACGGUACUGACGCUGAGACGCGAAAGCGUGGGGAGCAAACAGG
This 253-nucleotide ribosomal RNA is filed under the name uncultured bacterium. RNAcentral's name for it is "partial 16S ribosomal RNA". It matches the Rfam family "Bacterial small subunit ribosomal RNA", at positions 524 to 776 of the family's 1533-position model. The record is from RNAcentral.